This is a transfer RNA of Naegleria gruberi, 84 nucleotides long. It matches the Rfam family "tRNA". Rfam says of the family: Transfer RNA (tRNA) molecules are approximately 80 nucleotides in length. Their secondary structure includes four short double-helical elements and three loops (D, anti-codon, and T loops). Lineage: Eukaryota; Heterolobosea; Eutetramitea; Acrasida; Naegleriidae. The record is from Rfam.
CCGAUGAUAGCUCAGUUGGUAGAGCAUGGGACUGUAGUUAGCUCUGUCAUCCUAUGGUCGGCGGUUCAAUUCCGUCUCAUCGGA